GACGAACCGUGCGAACGUUGUUCGGAAUCACUGGGCUUAAAGGGCGCGUAGGCGGGCUCCCAAGUCUGGGGUGAAAUCUUUCGGCUUAACCGGAAAAGUGCCUUGGAUACUGGGAGCCUUGAGGGAGGCAGGGGCGGAUGGAACUUCCGGUGGAGCGGUGAAAUGCGUUGAUAUCGGAAGGAACGCCGGUGGCGAAAGCGAUCCGCUGGACCUCUUCUGACGCUGAGGCGCGAAAGCCAGGGGAGCAAACGGG
RNAcentral lists this ribosomal RNA (253 nucleotides) under uncultured bacterium. Its description in RNAcentral is "partial 16S ribosomal RNA". It matches the Rfam family "Bacterial small subunit ribosomal RNA", at positions 524 to 776 of the family's 1533-position model. The record is from RNAcentral.